CAAUGUUUUAUGUUCCUUGACUUGAGGGUAUUGAGUGGCAGAAUUUGGUUCCGAAUUAAGCUUGCCAAAAUUCUAUAUGCAAUUACAGUAAUUAACUUACAUGAUAGAACCUAAAAUUUUAGUGUUUCCUAGAUCUGGUGCCUUUGUAGAUGUUUAAGUUCAUAGAUGUUUACCCAUUUAGGCAAUCAAAAGAAAACACAAACUUUUCUUAUAUGUUUAAGCUAACUAGGACUUUGUGGUUUUAAAAAAUUGGCUGGAAAAAAAAAUUGCCCUUCAUUUUGCUUGCUAGCUACUGUUUUCCUUCUUCCAUCUCCUUCUGUUCUUCUUUGUGGCGGGUGUUUGUUAUAGCCCUGCAGUCUAUUGUUUGCUACGUCCCUACCAUUCUCUUCUUCUUCCUUCUUAUACUCCUUGCUUGGUGCUGACCAUGUGGCCCUAUUGCUAGCUGGUUGGUGAAACAGAAAAAAUUCUAUGAACCCUCUCCAUUUUUUUCUUCUAAAUUUUGAUCUUUCGACUCUUUUUAAGUGUGGAAAAAGGUUUUAUGAUGUCAUCCAUUGUGAAAAAAAGAGUGUAUAUAUGAUAUAUGCAUAAAUUAAUUUAUGUACAUCAUCAAAAUAAUUCAGACCAACACUUCAAGUGCUUUACCCCCCAGGCGCCAGGGCACUCACCAAGGCUACAAAGGGUGUCCACUGCCUGGCGUUGCCUAGGCAAUUUGACAACCUUAGUUUGAUCAAAAUUGAAGAUCAAUAUCCAUACUCAGUCAGCCUAUAUAUGUUAGGGAUGCAUCUCACAAUACAGAAAUUGUAUAUUUAUGAAUAAAUUAAAUACAUUUGCCUGCUCUAAUUAUCUUUCUUGCUGGUAUAUCUCAAAGUUGCCAUUCUUCCUUCUCCAGCUUUAUAUCUUUUAAAAAAAAAAAUUGUAGCCCAUCAUUUGCUGCUCUACCCUAUUAAUGUACUGCAUCACCCUGGUUGACAUAUCAUAGCUAGCACCCUUUUAUAACUCCAACUGUCAAUAUCAAUCACCAAUGAUCUCUUGCUAAAACUAUGAAUGUGUAAUGCAAUAUUACAAAAGUGUUUUGAGAACAAAAUCUUGAAAGUUAUGUAACACUCAAAGACCACAGUACCAAUAAAAUGGAAUUAUAAGAGACCACCAUUCUUAUAGUCAGAGUCAGCACCUCCUAGGAACAAAACAUAUGCAAAGAAAAGCCCAACAAUCGAAUUUACAAAUACAAUGAGACAACCAACCUCUUCAUACUUAUAAUCCCUGUCAGUUCCUUCCCAGGGGCAUCGGGCACCUCCUAGAACGAUGCCCUCCCCUUCCACAUCCUCUCCAAUUUGCUCACCUGAACAUCAGUGAAAAUUGUCGCUUGUUAUGUAAAUGGUACUAAUUUAGGAUAUUUAAUAGAUAUGCUACUAUGAUGGAACAUGCCAAGUAAAACUCUCCUGGUUAUCUGGGUCCAAAAAAUUAACUCAUUCUUCUACAAAGAGCACCAUACACAUGAAUUCAAGAGUCCUUACCACUAAGGUCUUCCCCAAAAUCCCCAUUUUCAUCUGUCUCCACCUGAAAUCAAAUGACACAAUAAAGUUCACAUCAUCAUACCAAGGAUGGUGUCUAAGCUCAAAAGCUUCACUCAACAUCAUAUGAUCUGUAUGCAAACUGACCGGUUUCUUCUUCUUCUUCUUCAUGCCAACAAAGCUUAAUUCCCCAGACUCAGCAACUGCAUCAUCAGAAUACAGAGGUAACUUCAUAAUAGUCAUCUUUAAGCAUUAUUGAAAAAAAAAAAAAUCAUGCACACUUAGAAAUACAUUCAUUCUGCCUUCCACACUGCACUUGAAAUUUCUUUAAGCAGUUCAAAUACAAGCACACCUGUUAAAUUUUCCGUUUUCUCAGCAAGUUUAUCCACCUCCUCAGCAGAAUCUUGAAUUACCACCUUCUUCUUCUUCUUCUUCUUUGUAGGAUCGAAGGGGGCAACCUACAAGACAAUUACCCCUAAUUUAUGACACGAUCUUGUGACCAAAAAAGAACAAUAAGAAGAAUAGGGAGGAGAAAGAGGAGGAGGAGGAGGAGACACGAUUAUCCUGGCAAAACCAUUAGAGAUGCAACAACAGAGAAUCAAGAAGUAACAUCCUUAUUCCCAUUGUACAUUAACCCUGAUCUUAAGGUAACCAAGCAUUAUAUGUUCUGCACUCAUAACAGCAAGCCCUAUAUCUGAUACAUGAAGAAUCUUUCUUUAGAAGAAAAAAGGAAUCUGCUGAACAAAAUAGUACAGAAACUUACCUCCGGCACCUCCUCCUUCAUCUCGGCUGGCUUUUCUUCAGUCAUAUUGAUCGUUCCUUCAAAUCCUCACAAAAGAACAGACCUAACCCUAGAAACACGAAAAAUGAAAAGAAUCAAUACCAUUUCUUUUUGACAAGUUUAAUCGGAAAAAAGGAAUCAUCGAACCCUAUUCAGGAUUAAGGACAGAAACAAACAAACGAACGGCAGAAUAAUCAAAAACAUCGAGCUGUCAGAUGUAUCAGAUCGAAGAAAACCCUAAAUCUCGAACAAAUACGAUCAAAACCUUGCUCAUUUCAAUGAACAAAAACAGAAGAAAAAAAAAAAACAAAUUAUUGAAGCAUGUCGAAAAUAUAGAUAAUAAAUCAGAAAAACCUCGAUCCCUCUAGCAAUCACGAAUCCACCGAUUCUUGGAAGAAGAAAGAAGAAUCCGGAGUUUUCUCGCGAGAUAUUCCAGACACGAGCUUAGGCAAGAGGCGCCGCAUUUUGUAGGGUCUAGGCAAAGGUGAUCGCUGCGAGAGCACGUUGGAUACGGUUCGGUUGCAUCGCCGGUUCAGUAACCCGGUAGGGUUUAAAUUGGGUUGCGUCCGGUCCAGCUUGAGCAGGACCAGGACACGGUGUAAUUUUCGUUGUCUCCUGGAUUGAGCCAAUUUGCUUGGUGGAUGUAUUAGUUCCUAUCGAACAUGUCCAAUUUAAAUACGAAGAGCUACGUUUUGUCGUCUAGAUUUUCUUUGACAUCAAUAUGUGCCCCAUCCAAGUUCAAUUGAGAUCUUGGCCUUUCAAAAAAAUUAAAGGUUGGAAUUGAAUAUCCAAUUAACUAUACAUGUGUGCAUCUGUGGACGUAGCAGUUAGGUCUAAAACCUCGACCUAGGCAGUGUUUUGAUUAUAUUGCUUGGUAUGUGUUGUUUUGAUCUUUUGGUACUCGGUUUUGGUUGGAAUAUCUUUUUUCUAAAGAUAAAAACUAUGCUGCUAGACUUAUCUUUUCACUUCCUCUUUAGUCGUUUAGGAUGAUGCACCGAGGUCUCAUUUUGACAAUAAUUUGUGCACUCUUUAAUCUAGAAAAUAUGAGUAUCAUGAUGGCUCCUUCGAAAACUUCCGACGAAAAAAUUUCAUCCUCAUGGAUGGAGGAUUUCUUCAAGAUUUGAGUAUUGUUGGAGCUUUUUUCCAAAACAAAAAUGGAGAGAGCGCCGGAUUCAUUGCUGGUUAGAUUCACAUCCAUCCAAUCCAAUUGCAUCAUGAUCGGUUGUUGGAUGCUUUGCAUUUGGUUAUAUGACCAUAUAUAUAAAGGUCAAAUUAAUUGUUAUUACCUAGUUGUCAAUUGUCACACACUUGUCAGAUUAAAGAAGCGAGAGCAACUUACCAUCUAAAAACAUUCAAACUUUAAUCAAAUGUGACGUAGUUCACUUUGUUCUAGUAUUAUUAGAAAUCUCACAUUUUCCAUCAAUAAGACCUAGAUGAUAAGUGGUAAUCAAAUCAAAAGACAAAAUCAAUUCGCCAAUUAACACCCAUAACACCUAUUUGGAUGCUUCUCAAUCCUCUAUAUCUCCAUAGACGCAAUGCCAUGAUUUGUUUCCAUUUGUUUCAGCAUUAAAUGGCAAACAAACCAAGGGAUGGAGUUAAUUGAACAAAAAUCAUGGGAUUGAAUUUCUCCUACUAAUAGAGUUUGUUAGUUCCAUAACUGAAAUAAUAAAAAAAUAAAAUACAUGCCUAAGAGAGAUCUUACUGUCCACAUCCUCUUUCUUCUUCAUCAGGUAUCUUUAUCUAUUAUCUUUCUUAUUAAGCUAUUUCUCCCCUGCGUAAGGUCUUCCUCUCAAAUCUCUUUUUCUUCUUUCAAAUCCCAUGUACCAUCUCUUCUAUUUAUAAGGUCUUUCUCAAGGUCUUUUUUUAUCUUCUAAAUCUCUCUUCUUUUCUAAAAUCUUUGUAUCUAAAAAUUUAUAAAAAUUAUAUAUUAUUUUAUCUAGAGGUAUGUAUUGAGAUGUUGGAUGAAUAUUUUUCUAAAUAUAUAUUAACUGACUAUAUAUUGUCUACUAGUGGAUACUAAGUUCGGUAAACUAUACAUCAAUUGAUCUAUAUGUAUGCAUUAGAUCUUUGUUGCGUGUAUAUUAAAAAAGUUUACCGUAUGUAUCAAUAACUCGUCUAGUAUGUAUCAUUUGCUCAUAUACUAUGUAUUGAUGAAUAUUAUAUUUUAAAAAUUAUAUAUCAUUUUAUCUAGAUGUGUGUAUUGUGAUAUCGGAUAAAUAUUUUACUAGGUGUGUAUUAUAUAUUGGUAAAUAUUCAGUUCGAUAAACUAUAUAUCAAUUUAACUUUAUGUGUGUAUUGGAUCAGAAAAUUUCUAGAUGUGCAUCGAAAAAAACUUAAAGUAUAUAUUUAAUAUGUAUUAUAUAGUCAUAUAGUAUGUAUUACUAAAAAGUAUUUACUGAAAAUGAGAAAAAAAAAUAUCUUAAUCAUAAAAUUAAUAAGUCUGUUAAUAAAAAAAAUUUUAAUUUUUUAAUUUAUUAUUAAAAUUAAUAUUAAAAAAAUGACAAACUAUAAGCUCAUCUCAUAUGAUAUUUUAUAGUGCCCGCUUCAUAUGAUUUUUGUCCUAUAACUUACUACUAUAAAAUCAUCACAAAAUCCUUUCCACUGGAAAUCAUCUUCUUACCCCCAAGAAAAGAACUCUACGCUCAGAGGUGUCGAUGGAAGCCAAAAAAAAAAAAAAAAGACCCACCAGCAUUCUUACAAAUAGUAUCAAAAUAUAGUUAUAAUUUCUUUCUGCAUUUCUCCAGAUCCAUCCCGGAGGACAUUUUUUUUUCUUUCUAAUUAUUAUUUUAAUCGAUGAUAAUAUCAGCUGAUGUGGUGAUUUCUUACUGUUUCGAUUUACUCACGGCUGUGAUAUCUGCAUUUGGAUGUAAUUUCUCCAUGUUGACCCACGGUUGAUAAAUCGUACGCGAAUUGCUGUACGUCACUCGCCGCGCCUCAAACAGUUGUCCACCGAGCGGAACACUGUUGGCCCACCAACUAAAGCCGUGGCGGUCCCAUCCCCAUGCGUCGACGAGACGAAAUUGCAUGAUCCAACGGUCCUGAUCAUUCGAGCAGCGGAAUCCCACAUGGUGGACCCCACGAUUCCGCCGAUCAACUCCCUGGUGCUAAGCUGGCAAGCUCUGGCCAUUACGAGCUCGGUACUAAUUUAGCUGGAUCUCCGAACCGCGUCAAUUUAGGAUUUAAGACCAGUAAUCCAACAUUAUUUUAAUAAUUUUCUAUGAUUAGUUAUUCAAUUAAACUAAAAAGAAACGAUCUUCCGCUAGUUGAGACCACAUCUUAAGAAAGUUCUCUCUUUUCCGUAUCUUACCAAAUCCCGCGGUUUUAGACCCCCCUAGUCUCUCCUGUCCGUCUUCUAUCGAACUCUCAGCACUCGGAGAUUGUCUCAGGUACUCCUGCUCUCCUUCUUUUUUUUUCUUCUGGAUUUAAGGUUUUUAUAGCAUAUAUCAUUGGAUUUCUGUAAAUUUCAGUUGAUUUAUUGCUUUUUUUUUCGAUUUUUCCGUGGCUAAAUCGUCCAUUUUUCUUUUAUCUUGCUCUUUUUUUUUGGCAGUUACUUCCGGUUGGAUCUUCUUCCACUCUGCUCAAUUUUAGCUGAAUUAGAUUGCUGAUUUCUUGCUAGAAAUCGUAGGUUCCCCCUACAUUCGUUGUCCACGAUCCGAUCUGCUCGAUCUGAGGUGUUUUCUCACGGAUCGAAACCCUGGUUCCCGAAAGAUCCGUUCUUUUCCGGUUCUGUAAACCCACACCCCCCCCUCAGUCCUCUUCUGCGUAUUUCUCAGUAGAAGCCCUCAUCUUUAGCUCACAAAUUUUAGUUUUUUUUUUCCCCCAAAGAUUUUGUUUUUCCUCAUGAAAAGGUAUCAAGCUUUACCUCCCAUCCGUCUCUGUGCUUCCUUCUUCUUCUUCUUGCUGGCCGUCGGCAAAAUCUCGGCGGCCGACAGCACCAACAGCACCUACGUCCCACGGGACAACAUUCUACUCAACUGCGGUGCCUCCGGGCAGGACAAGGACACCGAUGGCCGCAUCUGGACCGGCGACGCCGGCUCCAAGUACGCCCCCUCCAUUAAUGGCGUUGGCCUCACUGCCCCCUCGCAGGACUCGUCGGUCCCGCAAGUCCCGUACUUGACCGCCCGGUUCUUCACCUCCCCCUACACCUACACCUUCCCCC
This 6451-nucleotide long non-coding RNA is filed under the name Elaeis guineensis (African oil palm). Its description in RNAcentral is "long non-coding RNA (EGUI_LNC026897)". Lineage: Eukaryota; Viridiplantae; Streptophyta; Magnoliopsida; Arecales; Arecaceae. The record is from RNAcentral.